This 301-nucleotide ribosomal RNA is filed under the name uncultured bacterium. RNAcentral describes it as "partial 16S ribosomal RNA". It matches the Rfam family "Bacterial small subunit ribosomal RNA", at positions 509 to 807 of the family's 1533-position model. The record is from RNAcentral.
CAGCAGCCGCGGUAAAACAGAGGGUGCGAGCGUUAAUCGGAUUUACUGGGCGUAAAGCGUGCGUAGGCGGCUAAUUGAGUCGGAUGUGAAAUCCCCGAGCUUAACUUGGGAAUUGCAUUCGAUACUGGUUAGCUAGAGUGUGGGAGAGGAUGGUAGAAUUCCAGGUGUAGCGGUGAAAUGCGUAGAGAUCUGGAGGAAUACCGAUGGCGAAGGCAGCCAUCUGGCCUAACACUGACGCUGAGGUACGAAAGCAUGGGGAGCAAACAGGAUUAGAUACCCCCGUAGUCCCUGUCUCUUAUAC